Molecule: ribosomal RNA, 252 nt
Filed under: uncultured bacterium
Lineage: Bacteria
Description: partial 16S ribosomal RNA
Rfam family: Bacterial small subunit ribosomal RNA
Source: RNAcentral
UACGGAGGAUCCAAGCGUUAUCCGGAUUUAUUGGGUUUAAAGGGUGCGUAGGCGGUUUUAUAAGUUAGAGGUUAAAUGUCAGUGCUUAACAUUGGCCUGCCUCUAAUACUGUAUGACUAGAGAUUAGAUGCGGUAGGCGGAAUGUAUGGUGUAGCGGUGAAAUGCGUAGAGAUCAUACAGAACACCGAUUGCGAAGGCAGCUUACCAAACUAAAUCUGACGUUGAGGCACGAAAGCGUGGGUAGCAAACAUG